CUGGGACUAGAAUAGGCUGAGUUUACAUUCCUUGAAAACUGUCUUGGGGUCAGGAGAUCUACGGGCGAGAGGAGGGGGCACCACUGACCCAUGUUUGAUGCAGGUAAGAACGCCAGAAUCAUCGUUGCUCUGAGCAGGGUCAAAGGAUUGCUAAUAGAAAAAGAUGGCAUUUGAGAAACCCUCCAGAGGACAGGGCGAUGCCUGAUCUGCAUGGAGUCUCAUCGGAGCACAGGUAUACUAUGAUCCGGCCAGUCAGGAUGGCUUUCCAACCUCCCCGGACAUCGGCCACCCCAGCCCAGAUGUUCCUUCACUUUGCCUGUUUUGAUUUCCACUUGAUGGCCGGGAUGAAUGAUGGAAAUUAGGACCAGUGGAGGUGUCCUUGCAAACAGCCUCAUGCUGCUGAGGGAUUCCUGACCCGCAGAUUUCCCCAUCUCUUCUUCCAGAGCUUCCCUGCCACCUCUAGGCCCCUGGUGAUCUUGCCCCUGAACUUGGGAAAUGUGUAAGCCUGCUAAUUCAGGCAUCCUCCGG
Suricata suricatta (meerkat) is the source of this 528-nucleotide long non-coding RNA. RefSeq lists it as uncharacterized. The transcript has 4 exons. The record is from RefSeq and is a predicted model, not a curated record. NCBI's taxonomy places the organism in Eukaryota, Metazoa, Chordata, Mammalia, Carnivora, Herpestidae.